CCUACGGGAGGCUGCAGUGGGGAAUAUUGGACAAUGGGGGCAACCCUGAUCCAGCCAUGCCGCGUGUGUGAAGAAGGCCCUCGGGUUGUAAAGCACUUUCAGUGAGGAAGAACGCCUGGUGGUUAAUACCCAUCAGGAAAGACAUCACCCACAGAAGAAGCACCGGCUAACUCCGUGCCAGCAGCCGCGGUAAUACGGAGGGUGCGAGCGUUAAUCGGAAUUACUGGGCGUAAAGCGCGCGUAGGUGGCUUGAUAAGCCGGUUGUGAAAGCCCCGGGCUCAACCUGGGAACGGCAUCCGGAACUGUCAAGCUAGAGUGCAGGAGAGGAAGGUAGAAUUCCCGGUGUAGCGGUGAAAUGCGUAGAGAUCGGGAGGAAUACCAGUGGCGAAGGCGGCCUUCUGGACUGACACUGACACUGAGGUGCGAAAGCGUGGGUAGCAAACAGGAUUAGAUACCCCGGUAGUC
This 465-nucleotide ribosomal RNA is filed under the name Vreelandella stevensii. Its description in RNAcentral is "partial 16S ribosomal RNA". It matches the Rfam family "Bacterial small subunit ribosomal RNA", at positions 338 to 795 of the family's 1533-position model. The record is from RNAcentral. Lineage: Bacteria; Pseudomonadati; Pseudomonadota; Gammaproteobacteria; Oceanospirillales; Halomonadaceae.